Molecule: ribosomal RNA, 460 nt
Filed under: uncultured bacterium
Lineage: Bacteria
Description: partial 16S ribosomal RNA
Rfam family: Bacterial small subunit ribosomal RNA
Source: RNAcentral
CCUACGGGAGGCAGCAGUGAGGAAUAUUGGUCAAUGGACGAGAGUCUGAACCAGCCAAGUAGCGUGAAGGAUGACUGCCCUAUGGGUUGUAAACUUCUUUUAUAUGGGAAUAAAAUGUUCCACGUAUGGGCUUUUGUAUGUACCAUAUGAAUAAGGAUCGGCUAACUCCGUGCCAGCAGCCGCGGUAAUACGGAGGAUCCGAGCGUUAUCCGGAUUUAUUGGGUUUAAAGGGAGCGUAGGUGGAUUGUUAAGUCAGUUGUGAAAGUUUGCGGCUCAACCGUAAAAUUGCAGUUGAAACUGGCAGUCUUGAGUACAGUAGAGGUGGGCGGAAUUCGUGGUGUAGCGGUGAAAUGCUUAGAUAUCACGAAGAACUCCGAUUGCGAAGGCAGCUCACUGGACUGCAACUGACACUGAUGCUCGAAAGUGUGGGUAUCAAACAGGAUUAGAUACCCUGGUAGUC